CCUACGGGUGGCUGCAGUGGGGAAUAUUGGACAAUGGGGGGAACCCUGAUCCAGCCAUGCCGCGUGUGUGAAGAAGGCCCUCGGGUUGUAAAGCACUUUCAGUGAGGAAGAACGCCUGGUGGUUAAUACCCAUCAGGAAAGACAUCACUCACAGAAGAAGCACCGGCUAACUCCGUGCCAGCAGCCGCGGUAAUACGGAGGGUGCGAGCGUUAAUCGGAAUUACUGGGCGUAAAGCGCGCGUAGGUGGCUUGAUAAGCCGGUUGUGAAAGCCCCGGGCUCAACCUGGGAACGGCAUCCGGAACUGUCAAGCUAGAGUGCAGGAGAGGAAGGUAGAAUUCCCGGUGUAGCGGUGAAAUGCGUAGAGAUCGGGCGGAAUACCAGUGGCGAAGGCGGCCUUCUGGACUGACACUGACACUGAGGUGCGAAAGCGUGGGUAGCAAACAGGAUUAGAUACCCGUGUAGUC
RNAcentral lists this ribosomal RNA (465 nucleotides) under Vreelandella stevensii. RNAcentral's name for it is "partial 16S ribosomal RNA". It matches the Rfam family "Bacterial small subunit ribosomal RNA", at positions 338 to 795 of the family's 1533-position model. The record is from RNAcentral. Lineage: Bacteria; Pseudomonadati; Pseudomonadota; Gammaproteobacteria; Oceanospirillales; Halomonadaceae.